RNAcentral lists this ribosomal RNA (727 nucleotides) under uncultured bacterium. RNAcentral describes it as "bacterial SSU rRNA". It matches the Rfam family "Bacterial small subunit ribosomal RNA", at positions 771 to 1498 of the family's 1533-position model. The record is from RNAcentral.
AACAGGAUUAGAUACCCUGGUAGUCCACGCCGUAAACGAUGUCGACUUGGAGGUUGUUCCCUUGAGGAGUGGCCUCCGGAGCUAACGCGUUAAGUCGACCGCCUGGGGAGUACGGCCGCAAGGUUAAAACUCAAAUGAAUUGACGGGGGCCCGCACAAGCGGUGGAGCAUGUGGUUUAAUUCGAUGCAACGCGAAGAACCUUACCUACUCUUGACAUCCACGGAAUUCGGCAGAGAUGCCUUAGUGCCUUCGGGAACCGUGAGACAGGUGCUGCAUGGCUGUCGUCAGCUCGUGUUGUGAAAUGUUGGGUUAAGUCCCGCAACGAGCGCAACCCUUAUCCUUUGUUGCCAGCGAUUCGGUCGGGAACUCAAAGGAGACUGCCGGUGAUAAACCGGAGGAAGGUGGGGAUGACGUCAAGUCAUCAUGGCCCUUACGAGUAGGGCUACACACGUGCUACAAUGGCGCAUACAAAGAGAAGCGACCUCGCGAGAGCAAGCGGACCUCAUAAAGUGCGUCGUAGUCCGGAUCGGAGUCUGCAACUCGACUCCGUGAAGUCGGAAUCGCUAGUAAUCGUGGAUCAGAAUGCCACGGUGAAUACGUUCCCGGGCCUUGUACACACCGCCCGUCACACCAUGGGAGUGGGUUGCAAAAGAAGUAGGUAGCUUAACCUUCGGGAGGACGGUUACCACGGAGUGAUUCAUGACUGGGGUGAAGUCGUAACAAGGUA